UGUAUAAUGGGUCAGCGACUUAUAUUCUGUAGCAAGGUUAACCGAAUAGGGGAGCCGAAGGGAAACCGAGUCUUAACUGGGCGUUAAGUUGCAGGGUAUAGACCCGAAACCCGGUGAUCUAGCCAUGGGCAGGUUGAAGGUUGGGUAACACUAACUGGAGGACCGAACCGACUAAUGUUGAAAAAUUAGCGGAUGACUUGUGGCUGGGGGUGAAAGGCCAAUCAAACCGGGAGAUAGCUGGUUCUCCCCGAAAGCUAUUUAGGUAGCGCCUCGUGAAUUCAUCUCCGGGGGUAGAGCACUGUUUCGGCAAGGGGGUCAUCCCGACUUACCAACCCGAUGCAAACUGCGAAUACCGGAGAAUGUUAUCACGGGAGACACACGGCGGGUGCUAACGUCCGUCGUGAAGAGGGAAACAACCCAGACCGCCAGCUAAGGUCCCAAAGUCAUGGUUAAGUGGGAAACGAUGUGGGAAGGCCCAGACAGCCAGGAUGUUGGCUUAGAAGCAGCCAUCAUUUAAAGAAAGCGUAAUAGCUCACUGGUCGAGUCGGCCUGCGCGGAAGAUGUAACGGGGCUAAACCAUGCACCGAAGCUGCGGCAGCGACACUAUG
This 608-nucleotide ribosomal RNA is filed under the name Escherichia coli. Its description in RNAcentral is "partial 23S ribosomal RNA". It matches the Rfam family "Bacterial large subunit ribosomal RNA", at positions 609 to 1218 of the family's 2925-position model. Lineage: Bacteria; Pseudomonadati; Pseudomonadota; Gammaproteobacteria; Enterobacterales; Enterobacteriaceae. The record is from RNAcentral.